Long non-coding RNA from Gordionus sp. m RMFG-2023, 251 nucleotides. RefSeq lists it as uncharacterized. The transcript has 3 exons. Lineage: Eukaryota; Metazoa; Nematomorpha; Gordioida; Chordodea; Parachordodidae. The record is from RefSeq and is a predicted model, not a curated record.
AAAAUGUGGAAGAUAUUUGCAAGCAUUCACAGGCAAGUUUGAAACUAUCCAAGGAUGCUACUAAUGAACAAAUAUCUCCACAUUAUUAUGAGCCAAACAUCCAAGAUGUGGUGAAUGUACAACAUCAUCACAGGAUUAUGAGCCAAACAUCCAAGAUGUGGUGAAAGUACAAACAUCAUCACAGGUAUUAUAACAUGAAAUUAGAUGAACCAAAUACACAAUAUCUACUAAAUGAUAUUGUUAAUCCUUUU